UUGAGAUAGUCCGGCCGCGAUUGUAUUUCUAAAUUUAGUAAAUACCAUUGGAGUCAUUCAUCGGUGGUGCCAUUAGGCGGGACCUGAGUUUCGUUUGUUCUAGUUCGCGGGAAAUGGAUGCCAUUGAUUCAGUCAUCGAUCCUCUCAGAGGCUUCGCCAAGGAUAGCGUCCGUCUCGUCAAGAGAUGCCACAAGCCUGAUCGCCAAGAAUUCACCAAAGUGGCGCUCCGUACCGCAAUUGGUUUCGUCGUGAUGGGAUUUGUCGGUUUUUUCGUCAAGUUGAUUUUCAUUCCGAUUAACAAUAUCAUCGUUGGAUCUGGAUAGAUUCAUUUUCACAGGAUACAAUUCAUGGUGCAGAGGGGGCUUCAUUCGAGAGUAAUGUGGUUUGCUCUUCACGUGAGCUAUUAUUUCAAGAAACAAGAGGAAGCGCUGUGGGUGUGGGGAGAAGAAAAAUGCAGGAUGUGUCCAAUAUUAGUAAGACAUCCUUGAUCCUUUAAUCUAACUUUUUAUCUUCUCUGAUGCUCACCACUUCCACUGCCUGUGCUGUUUCUUCCAAAUGCUUCUUUCGCUCCUCGUUCUUUCACAUGUACGCUUACACCAUAUGAAAAUCUUCCCAUAGAGUGAACCACUGCUGUGAGAGAGCUAGCCAGUGAAAAGAAACAUUGAGAGACAUCAGUGCUUGUGUUUUGACUUUUGCUCAUGGUUCAUCUUCAUUGUUAUUGAUCUAUAGAAACAUUUCACUUGCUUUAAGGCUAGCUUUAGAAGACACUUGAUUUAGUAGACUUUCUAUAUUUUUGCCAGCACUGGUAACGCACAAUACUAUGAAAAUUGAGGCUUGAAAUAGAAAUAGAGGCAUGAGUUCCUCAAUAGAAACAAAAGAUCUUCCUUCUUUCUAUGUUGAUGAAAAGUUCUUUUUGUAGACUUUUCUUGUUUUUUGUUUUCUUAUUGGAAUUUGGAAACAAGUAUCUCAUUGAUGCUUAAAUCAUUUUUUGGUU
Momordica charantia (bitter melon) is the source of this 994-nucleotide non-coding RNA. Lineage: Eukaryota; Viridiplantae; Streptophyta; Magnoliopsida; Cucurbitales; Cucurbitaceae. The record is from RefSeq and is a predicted model, not a curated record.